CCGGGGACCUCAUGGAAUAAAGUAGUCCGAACUAGGUCAGAACAGGAAUGUAGCAGCCUUAAGGAUGGUGCUUUAUGC
RNAcentral lists this signal recognition particle RNA (78 nucleotides) under Parachlamydiaceae bacterium. Its description in RNAcentral is "partial signal recognition particle sRNA small type". It matches the Rfam family "Bacterial small signal recognition particle RNA", at positions 1 to 77 of the family's 97-position model. Rfam says of the family: The signal recognition particle (SRP) is a universally conserved ribonucleoprotein involved in the co-translational targeting of proteins to membranes. Archaeal SRP consists of a 7S RNA and homologues of the eukaryotic SRP19 and SRP54 proteins. Lineage: Bacteria; Pseudomonadati; Chlamydiota; Chlamydiia; Parachlamydiales; Parachlamydiaceae. The record is from RNAcentral.